AGUGAACGCUGGCGGUAGGCCUAACACAUGCAAGUCGAACGGCAGCACAGUAAGAGCUUGCUCUUACGGGUGGCGAGUGGCGGACGGGUGAGGAAUACAUCGGAAUCUACUUUUUCGUGGGGGAUAACGUAGGGAAACUUACGCUAAUACCGCAUACGACCUACGGGUGAAAGCAGGGGAUCUUCGGACCUUGCGCGAUUGAAUGAGCCGAUGUCGGAUGAGCUAGUUGGCGGGGUAAAGGCCCACCAAGGCGACGAUCCGUAGCUGGUCUGAGAGGAUGAUCAGCCACACUGGAACUGAGACACGGUCCAGACUCCUCCGGGAGGCAGCAGUGGGGAAUAUUGGACAAUGGGCGCAAGCCUGAUCCAGCCAUACCGCGUGGGUGAAGAAGGCCUUCGGGUUGUAAAGCCCUUUUGUUGGGAAAGAAAAGCAGCAGGUUAAUACCCCGCUGUUCUGACGGUACCCAAAGAAUAAGCACCGGCUAACUUCGUG
RNAcentral lists this ribosomal RNA (492 nucleotides) under uncultured bacterium. RNAcentral's name for it is "partial 16S ribosomal RNA". It matches the Rfam family "Bacterial small subunit ribosomal RNA", at positions 29 to 507 of the family's 1533-position model. The record is from RNAcentral.